RNAcentral lists this ribosomal RNA (339 nucleotides) under Triticum aestivum (bread wheat). Its description in RNAcentral is "partial small subunit ribosomal RNA". The record is from RNAcentral. Lineage: Eukaryota; Viridiplantae; Streptophyta; Magnoliopsida; Poales; Poaceae.
AUGGCCUCCGCCGUCGUUUGCAAGGGCGAGGGUGCCGCGCCGGCGGCCAGCCUCCUCAAGUCCGCUGCUCCCGUGGCCUUCGGCGCGGUCCACUCCCCCGCCGUCGCCGCCGCCCGCCGCCCGUACAACACCCGGGUCAAGGAGGUCAGCCGCUACGACGACGACGACGACGACUACAGCGGUUGCGACCUCGUCAUCCCCAGCUUCUUCUCGCAGGACGUGCUCGACCCGCUCGGCGCGCCGACCAGCAUGGCCCGUCUGCUGUCUCUGAUGGAGGACGUCGCAACUCAGAACGGCAGCCUCUCCUCCACUGCUGGUGCUGGGGCGUCGCGGCUCUGA